RNAcentral lists this ribosomal RNA (404 nucleotides) under uncultured bacterium. RNAcentral's name for it is "bacterial SSU rRNA". It matches the Rfam family "Bacterial small subunit ribosomal RNA", at positions 355 to 775 of the family's 1533-position model. The record is from RNAcentral.
UGGGGAAUCUUGCGCAAUGGGCGAAAGCCUGACGCAGCAACGCCGCGUGGGGGAUGAAGGCCUUCGGGUCGUAAACCCCUUUCAGCAGGGACGAAACUGACGGUACCUGCAGAAGAAGCCCCGGCCAACUACGUGCCAGCAGCCGCGGUAAUACGUAGGGGGCGAGCGUUGUCCGGAUUCAUUGGGCGUAAAGAGCUCGUAGGCGGUUUGAUAAGUCGGGUGUGAAAUCUCCAGGCUCAACCUGGAGAGGUCACUCGAGACUGUUAUGACUAGAGUCCGGUAGGGGACCACGGAAUUCCUGGUGUAGCGGUGAAAUGCGCAGAUAUCAGGAGGAACACCAGUGGCGAAGGCGGUGGUCUGGGCCGGAACUGACGCUGAGGAGCGAAAGCGUGGGUAGCAAACAG